AGCAUCAUUCGACUGCGUGAGAAUAUGGAUGUGGAGAUAAAUAAUAUCAUGGUUUGCCAUGCAGGUACAUUGAUCUAAAACCAUGCAUUACUUGACUUCCUGAGAAUGGAUAUGUUGGUUCUGCAUGAUAUUAAGCUGAAUUCAACAUCAUGAGACUGCAUGUUAGAUCUGCAUCUUGUUUUUGCUGCAUGGAGGAUGGAAAUUCUGCUCGAGAUUGUUCAGUUUUAGUGAAAGUGGUGAACUAAACUUGAUAAUGUAGACUGAGGAGAUCUAGUCAAUGUGGGAGGAUUAAAUUUAUAUGAUGAUCUGAACCAUUCUUUCGAUCUGGGACAAUCAUGAAUGGGUCAUAAAACAAAAUUACAGUGAUUAUACAGUCUCAAUCAUUUGUUGGUAUGUUACCCUUACCUGCAAUUUCCUGUUUUUGACUUUAUUAUAGACAAGAUCUUGUAAAACUCGGUUCCCUAAUUUCUAGCUUCUACGAAAUGACCGAAGUGAACUGAAUGCCGACCAAAUACAUACUCAUACUUUCGCUUUAUAAAUUCAAGGCAAGUUACAUUACUGAAGUGAAAGUGAACUUGACAUAUCUGAAUGACAAAUUUUGUGUACCUGGUUUGUUCC
This is a long non-coding RNA of Magnolia sinica, 618 nucleotides long. RefSeq lists it as uncharacterized. The record is from RefSeq and is a predicted model, not a curated record. Lineage: Eukaryota; Viridiplantae; Streptophyta; Magnoliopsida; Magnoliales; Magnoliaceae. The transcript is spliced from 2 exons.